Molecule: transfer RNA, 58 nt
Filed under: Scolytinae sp. BMNH 1040146
Lineage: Eukaryota; Metazoa; Arthropoda; Insecta; Coleoptera; Curculionidae
Description: tRNA-Ser
Source: RNAcentral
GAUAUAACUAUAAGAAACUUCUAAUUUCUAAAUAAAGCGAAUUUACGUUUUUAUAUCU